GAUCAUGGCUCAGGAUGAACGCUAGCUACAGGCUAACACAUGCAAGUCGAGGGGCAGCAUGUCAGUGGCUUGCCACUGAUGAUGGCGACCGGCGCACGGGUGAGUAACGCGUAUCCAACCUUCCCCCAAGUAGGGAAUAGCCCGGCGAAAGUCGGAUUAAUGCCCUAUGUUUUCCUUAUGUGAGCAUUCUGUGAGGAACAAAGAUUGAUCGCUUGGGGAUGGGGAUGCGUCUGAUUAGAUGGUAGGCGGGGCAACGGCCCACCUAGUCCGCGAUCAGUAGGGGUUCUGAGAGGAAGGUCCCCCACAUUGGAACUGAGACACGGUCCAAACUCCUACGGGAGGCAGCAGUGAGGAAUAUUGGUCAAUGGCCGGGAGGCUGAACCAGCCCAAGUAGCGUGCGGGAUGACGGCCCUAUGGGUUGUAAACCGCUUUUGCCGGGGAAUAAAGUGGCCCACGCGUGGGUUUUUGCAUGUACCCGGAGAAUAAGGACCGGCUAAUUCCGUGCCAGCAGCCGC
Molecule: ribosomal RNA, 515 nt
Filed under: uncultured bacterium
Lineage: Bacteria
Description: bacterial SSU rRNA
Rfam family: Bacterial small subunit ribosomal RNA
Source: RNAcentral